CGACCGGCGCACGGGUGAGUAACGCGUAUCCAACCUGCCUUACGCUCUUGGACAGCCUUCUGAAGGGAGAUUAAUACAAGAUGUUAUCAUGAGUAAGCAUUUUCACAUGAUUAAAGGUUUACCGGUGUAAGAUGGGGAUGCGUUCCAUUAGAUAGUAGGCGGGGUAACGGCCCACCUAGUCUUCGAUGGAUAGGGGUUCUGAGAGGAAGGUCCCCCACAUUGGAACUGAGACACGGUCCAA
RNAcentral lists this ribosomal RNA (241 nucleotides) under uncultured bacterium. RNAcentral's name for it is "partial 16S ribosomal RNA". It matches the Rfam family "Bacterial small subunit ribosomal RNA", at positions 92 to 334 of the family's 1533-position model. The record is from RNAcentral.